This 286-nucleotide unclassified non-coding RNA is filed under the name uncultured bacterium. Its description in RNAcentral is "partial contains 16S ribosomal RNA and 16S-23S ribosomal RNA intergenic spacer region". It matches the Rfam family "Bacterial small subunit ribosomal RNA", at positions 22 to 301 of the family's 1533-position model. The record is from RNAcentral.
GCUCAGAAAGAAAAAUGGCGGCGCGUUUUAAGCAUGCAAGUCGAACGGCAAGUCGGGUCCCAAUACCUGGCCUAGAGUGGCGAACGGGUGAGUAACACGUAGGUGAUCUACCUCUGGAUGGGGGAUAGCCCGUGGAAACACGGGGUAAUACCGCAUGAGGCCUUGUGGGUAAAGCCAUGAGGUGAAAGGUGCAACUGCAUCGUCUGGGGAUGAGCCUGCGGUCCAUUAGUUAGUUGGCGGGGUAACGGCCCACCAAGACGACGAUGGAUAGCCGGCCUGAGAGGGU